This 401-nucleotide unclassified non-coding RNA is filed under the name soil metagenome. Its description in RNAcentral is "partial contains 5.8S ribosomal RNA, internal transcribed spacer 2, and large subunit ribosomal RNA". The stretch from base 1 to 121 matches the Rfam family "5.8S ribosomal RNA", at positions 35 to 154 of the family's 154-position model. The record is from RNAcentral.
GAUGAAGAACGUAGUGAAAUGCGAUAAGUAAUGUGAAUUGCAGAAUUCAGUGAAUCAUCGAAUCUUUGAACGCACCUUGCGCCCUUUGGCCAUUCCGAAGGGCAUGCCUGUUUGAGUAUCAUGAACACCUCAACUCUCAUGGCUCGCCAUGAUGAGCUUGGAUUUGGGGGUCUUGCUGGCCUGUGGUCGGCUCCUCUCAAAUGGAUCAGCUUGCCAGUAUUUGGUGGCAUCACAGGUGUGAUAACUAUCUGCGCUUGUGGUUUUCCAUCAGAUAACCUUCAGUGAUGGAGGUUCGCUGGAGCUCAUAAACGUCUCCCCUAAGCGGGGACAGCCCUUUGAAUGUUUGAUCUCAAAUCAGGUAGGACUACCCGCUGAACUUAAGCAUAUCAAUAAGCGGAGGA